RNAcentral lists this unclassified non-coding RNA (375 nucleotides) under uncultured bacterium. RNAcentral's name for it is "contains 16S-23S intergenic spacer region". The record is from RNAcentral.
UCCGAGUUGACCCCGGCAGUCUCCUGCGAGUCCCCGCCAUUACGCGCUGGCAACUAGAGACAGGGGUUGCGCUCGUUGCGCCACUUAAGGCAACACCUCACGGCACGAGCUGACGACAGCCAUGCACCACCUGUGCAGGCUCCGUAGAGCACCCGCUUUCACGGGUUUCACCCUGCAUGUCAAGCCCAGGUAAGGUUCUUCGCGUUGCAUCGAAUUAAUCCGCAUGCUCCGCCGCUUGUGCGGGCCCCCGUCAAUUCCUUUGAGUUUCAGCCUUGCGGCCGUACUCCCCAGGCGGGGUACUUCCUGCGUUAGCGCCGGCACCCAAGGGGUCGCUCCCCCAGGCACCUAGUACCCAUCGUUUACGGCGUGGACUAC